This 442-nucleotide ribosomal RNA is filed under the name uncultured bacterium. RNAcentral's name for it is "partial 16S ribosomal RNA". It matches the Rfam family "Bacterial small subunit ribosomal RNA", at positions 338 to 795 of the family's 1533-position model. The record is from RNAcentral.
CCUACGGGAGGCAGCAGUGGGGAAUAUUGCACAAUGGGGGAAACCCUGAUGCAGCGACGCCGCGUGAGUGAAGAAGUAUUUCGGGUUGUAAACUUCUUUUGUCAGGGAAGAGUAGAAGACGGUACCUGACGAAUAAGCCACGGCUAACUACGUGCCAGCAGCCGCGGUAAUACGGAGGUGGCAAGCGUUGUCCGGAUUUACUGGGUGUAAAGGUCGUGUAGCCGGGUUGACAAGCCAGAUGUGAAAUCCUGCGGCUUAACCGAAGAACUGCAUCGGAAACUGUUGAUCUUGAGUACUGGGAAGGCAGAUGGAAUUCCUAGUGUAGCGGUGAAAUGCGUAGAUAUUAGGAGGAACCCCAGUGGCGAAGGCAGUCUGCUGGACAGCAACUGACGGUGAGGCGCGAAAGCGUGGGGAGCGAACAGGAUUAGAUACCCCUGUAGUC